GAUGAAGAACGUAGUGAAAUGCGAUAAGUAAUGUGAAUUGCAGAAUUCAGUGAAUCAUCGAAUCUUUGUACGCACAUUGCGCCCGCUAGUAUUCUGGCGGGCAUGCCUGUCCGAGCGUCAUUUCAACCCUCAAGCCCCCGGGCUUGGUGUUGGGGAUCGGCGAGCCUCCGCGCCCGCCGUCCCCUAAAUCUAGUGGCGGUCUCGCUGUAGCUUCCUCUGCGUAGUAGCACACCUCGCACUGGGAAACAGCGCGGCCACGCCGUUAAACCCCCAACUUCUGAACGUUUGACCUCGGAUCAGGUAGGAAUACCCGCUGAACUUAAGCAUAUCAAUAAGCGGAGGA
RNAcentral lists this unclassified non-coding RNA (343 nucleotides) under soil metagenome. Its description in RNAcentral is "partial contains 5.8S ribosomal RNA, internal transcribed spacer 2, and large subunit ribosomal RNA". The stretch from base 1 to 120 matches the Rfam family "5.8S ribosomal RNA", at positions 35 to 154 of the family's 154-position model. The record is from RNAcentral.